This is a non-coding RNA of Aedes albopictus (Asian tiger mosquito), 118 nucleotides long. The record is from Rfam. Lineage: Eukaryota; Metazoa; Arthropoda; Insecta; Diptera; Culicidae.
UGCCCAGCAACUCCUAUCCCUACCUCCACGCGGUACCGGCCGGAAACUAUGAGCAACCUUAGGGAAGAUCGGGUAGCCAACCCCGGUGGGAACUUUGGUCGUAGGCUGACAGGGAAGG